CCGAGUGAGGGCCCUCGCGGCCCGACCUCCCACCCUUGCGAACCGACCCCGUUGCUUCGGGGCGACGCCCCCUCGGGGGCGGCCCCGGAGGCCAUUUAACACGGCAUCCGUGCAUCUGAGUCACAAAGAAAAUAAACA
Molecule: unclassified non-coding RNA, 138 nt
Filed under: uncultured fungus
Lineage: Eukaryota; Fungi
Description: sequence contains ITS1, 5.8S rRNA gene
Source: RNAcentral